RNAcentral lists this ribosomal RNA (178 nucleotides) under uncultured bacterium. RNAcentral describes it as "partial 16S ribosomal RNA". It matches the Rfam family "Bacterial small subunit ribosomal RNA", at positions 1321 to 1500 of the family's 1533-position model. The record is from RNAcentral.
UGAAGCCGGAAUUGCUGUAAUGGCAGGUCAGCAUACUGCCGUGAAUACGUUCCCGGGGCCUUGUACACACCGCCCGUCACACCAUGAGAGUUGGGAAUACCCGAAGCCUGUGAGCUAACGAAAGAGGCAGCAGUCGAAGGUAGAAUCAAUGAUUGGGGUGAAGUCGUAACAAGGUAUC